Neofelis nebulosa (Clouded leopard) is the source of this 559-nucleotide long non-coding RNA. RefSeq lists it as uncharacterized. The transcript has 3 exons. The record is from RefSeq and is a predicted model, not a curated record. NCBI's taxonomy places the organism in Eukaryota, Metazoa, Chordata, Mammalia, Carnivora, Felidae.
GCCACGCAAGCAACGCCUGGGACUGAAGGUCAUGCUGCCUGGCUUUGUGGGGACAGAUGGCCAUCGCUCAUGAUGUUAGCAAGAAACUUGACGCUGACUUCUGGACAUCAGCUGCUCACUGUCAUUCCUGAAAAGUCAACCGUGAUCACCCUCAUUCCUGAGAAAGAAAAUGGGACUCAGAGAUUAAGCAACUUGGUCCAAACAGCCGAGCUAGAAUCUACCUAAAACCAGAACAGGCCCUUCUUCUACAUCCUACCCUGCAGCGCCCUAUAGAACAUUACAGACCUGCAGUCAUCUUGGGGUACGAAGUUCAAUCCCAGCUCCCCUGUUCCACUCCUACCCCUGGAAUUUUGGCCAAUUCUUGGCAUCCUGAGCAGUAAGUAAGUCUGAAAGAGCAGCUAACUGGAAUCCUUUCCCUGGGGACCUCUUAGCCUGGAUUCGUUGUUUUGUUUUGUUUUGUUUUGUUUUGUUUUGAGUACAGCCACUUUCCCUUUCAAGGAGCCCAAAGCGUUUUCCUGGAAGGGGUCCGGUGGCAGGCGACAGGCCCCCUGGGCCCCAG